This 1228-nucleotide long non-coding RNA is filed under the name Phascolarctos cinereus (koala). Its description in RNAcentral is "lncRNA (ENSPCIG00000009043.2)". Lineage: Eukaryota; Metazoa; Chordata; Mammalia; Diprotodontia; Phascolarctidae. The record is from RNAcentral.
CAAAACCAUAACGGAGGCAGUAAAAGGGGCGACAAUUUGUUGGACAUGUGAACAUUCUGAUACCAGUGCUUCUGACAUCAGGAACAGAAAAUGGCUUUUCUGAUCAAGACCUUUUCUCCUUGUAGGAAGGUAUCUGUGGUAGAGCUCAGUGGAGCUACUCACAGGGAUAGCAUCUUUCCCCAACCCAGAGGUGAAGAAGAAAGGGAAUGUUUCUGAGAAGCGGCUUGGGCCUGCUGCUUCUUCUUCUCUUCACUGCUAUGAAUAAUGGGGACAGCCGGAAUCUUUCACAGGACAGAAAAACCUGCCUGGCCCCACUCCUGCACCGUCUGCAGACACAGACUACAAGCCAUACUUCUGGGAGAGGUGAUGGGUCUUUGAUGAAUCGUCCAUACUCUCUCACCCAGUCUGUGCCUGAUGGGGACCUGGUCCAGCCAUCCCACCCUGGGACAAAUACCCUGCAGUGAAGCGAUGUCCCUAAUGCUGAGAGAGCCCCCUUUGUAUCCCCAGAAACUAUAGUAGGGCACACAGUAGGGGUUUCACAAAUGCCUGUUGAAUCAUUCUGUUCUCUCUUCUUAAACCUUCUUAACCACCUCAGCAUCCUUCUGCCUUCUUAUUGAAGCUAGGCCACUCACAACAGCAAUGGCCCCCAAGCUUUCGUUUCUAGCUGGAUGCAGCUCAGACAUAAAUUAUCCUCACCGGAAUUUGGACCGACAUUUAUUGAGCACAUCUUAUGUGCAGAGCACAUCUCCAGGUACCAGGGACCACCAGGAGCAAGAGGAUGGGAGAAGCAGCAGCCUGAUGCAAUGAGAAACUUCCCGAUAAUUGGUCAUUCAAAAAUAGAACCGGUUGCCUUGGGAGGUAGUGAGGGCCCAACAAGGAAGGUCUUCAAACAACAUAUGGAUAAACAUAUGUUGGUAAUAGCAUAGGGGAUGCUUGUUCAAGUGGGUGGUGGAUUCAUGAGGUUCCUCUGAGGUCCUUUCCAGCACAGAUUCUGGGAUUUCUGGGGGUUGUAAGUACAAUAACCUUCUCCUCAAGAUCAUUUUGCUGAGGUCUUCCUUGCAGUCAGAUGGUUCGUCCCAAUCUCCCCUUCUCCCAAGUGCCCAGAGUUUGCUACCAACCUGGUGCACAUUGGGACAGUUUCUUCUUGCUUCCUAUGCUUCUCCUCCUCCUCCCUUCUUUACCUUCUCCUCCACAACUUCCUUCUCUUCUUCCUCUUUCCCUCCUCCUU